CUCAUAUUUCUCUGUUUACACUGAAGCAACUCUAAUGCUUUGAAAUCUCACCCUUUGUGUACAUUAAUCGGUUGAACAUAUUACAAUUGAUCACCCUAUUUAUGGGGAAAUGUGGAAGUCCUUGCAAAGUACAUUCCCCUUGAGGUUAUCAUCUGGGUCAAUUAGUGCAUCACCCCAUUUGGAUUGCAAUGGUAGAUUUGCAUAAAUAUGCAAAAGCAAACGAUAUC
Amborella trichopoda is the source of this 227-nucleotide non-coding RNA. NCBI's taxonomy places the organism in Eukaryota, Viridiplantae, Streptophyta, Magnoliopsida, Amborellales, Amborellaceae. The record is from RefSeq and is a predicted model, not a curated record.